This 73-nucleotide small nucleolar RNA is filed under the name Cinara cedri. The record is from RNAcentral. Lineage: Eukaryota; Metazoa; Arthropoda; Insecta; Hemiptera; Aphididae.
UUUUUAUGAUGAAUUAUUAUUUUGUCAGUUCUGCUACUGAAUAUAAAUUGAAGAUAAUGAUAUUCUGAUAAAA